This 20697-nucleotide long non-coding RNA is filed under the name Gallus gallus (chicken). Lineage: Eukaryota; Metazoa; Chordata; Aves; Galliformes; Phasianidae. The record is from RNAcentral.
CGGGGCCGUGCCGCGGCCGGCGGCGGCCGGAGUUGGUGGUGCGCGCGGGCGCGGCGCUCGCAGCCCGUCCCGGGACUCGGCGGAGCGCGGCCCGGCGGCCGGCCGCCCUCAGCGAGCCUCCUCGCAGCCGCCGCACUCGGGAGGCGCCGCGGGGCCGGGAGUCCCCGUCAGGUGAGCUGUGGGGGGCCGCCCCUGGGCGGGGGGCGCCGCGGGGUCGGGUUUCCUCGGCGGGGCCCCGACCGCGGCCGCGCGGGGGGAGGCGGGAGGUGCGGGUGAGCGGCGCCGGCUGAGGCGCUCCGUCCGCGAGCGGAGAGCGGCGCGCGGCGGGAGAGGCGGCACGCGGCGGUGCGCUCCGCGGUCGGAGCGAAGUUGCGUCCGGGCGGCGGGGACGGUGCCUUUGUUCGGGCUGCGGCUGCCCGCCUUCAUCCCCGCCGCGCUGCGAGUGCGGACGGCGCCCGGCUGCGCUCCUCUGCCCCGCGCCGGGACGCCCCACCGGCGGGCGCUGCUCGGCGUCUGCCCUUCCCGGGGCAGUCCCCGUGCGAGGAGAUGUCUGGCGGACGAACAAGUUGGAGCACGCCUCCCCUGCCUCGUUCCUGGGUUAGCGCUCCCGGGUCUCUCCUUUCCUUUUCCUUUUUCCUGUUGAGCGUCCCUUUUUCCUACGGUCGGAACGGAACGACGGUUUCCCCACUCGUGCUCGUUGCUUGCUCGCUCCUCCUGACGUCUGACACAAAGCCAGCUUUGGGGUGACUUCACCCCGGCAGCCGUUUCCCUUUUACAUCAUGUGCCUGUCAGACCUGCCUAUCCCCGGGCCUGGGAUCGGCAGCCCGGGGCUGGUGGGGCUGCUGGGAUGGCCCAGAGGCGCUCUGUGGCUGCUGCCACCUGCCCUUCCAGCCCUGCUUCACAGCAUCCCUGCCCAGCUGCCCUCUGUGCUGCAGCCGGCCACACGUGUGGUAUGGAGGUGUGAGCUGCUGUGCUGCCGUGGGACGUCGUGAGGACGUGUGGUGUGGAAAGAGAUGGCAAAGAGAAUGCUUGGCCAGGGAACCUGGGAACAAGACUGUUAUUAUGCUGCUGUCGGUGUGAUAAGUCCAGGUGUUUUUAACCUAGUUACGAUAGAACAGCAGCGACCAAUGAGCCACGGGCUGGUUCAUUGAAACAAAGUUCAAGGAAAUGAUGUUGAGUCGACUGCAAGGCACGUGUGGCAUCUCAUGGCUGACAGCAGCAGCCAGGAGCCAUCAGUGCAGCCUCAUUCACUCCGCAGUCCCAUCAGGUAAGAUGGGAGGGAGAGGUGUGCGUCCCCACAGGGCUGGCACAGCACGGAGCCCACAGCAGUGCUGCACGGCUGCAGGGUGCUCCCAUGCAGCACUGCUGCUCAAGGAGUGAGCACUGCCCUGGGAUUUAUGCUCUGCUGCUUCACAUGGUAUCAGCACAACGAUGUGGGAUUGCUGUUACCCUCAUUCAAAGUUCAGAGUGGAAAAAUGCAGGCUGAGGAGCGGAAUGAGGCUCUGCUUGUUGGCUCUUAAAGUGGAGAAGGAGGCGAGAGCUUUACAGUUUGUGGAGUGCCAGUGACAAGGACAGAGCGCUUGGUUCUACGAGCUAGCAGUGCCAGUCACUGCUCCCAUACCUCAAGCUGCCCUUCCAAUACAUGGUGGUUUAGCGUGGUAGCCUGCGUGUUUCCUCUUGGUUUCUCCAAGUCAUAAGCAGAGAUUGUGGCCCGCGUGGGAAGAAUGUCAGUCUUCCUUCUGCCGAAGAUGAGUGGCUGAGUCACUGAAGCAGUCUCUUUCCCCAUAUCUCUGCAAGUGGACUGAGCGGAUUUGAGAUUGCCCGAUGGCUGAGAGGUGUGGAUGGAGGCGGCUGCACUGUGGGCGGUUAAGCUGGAAGAGGGUGGGUUUAGGGUAGGUAUUAGGAAGACAUUCUUUGCUGUGAGGGCGGUGAGACACUGGAACAGGUUGCCCGGUGAGGCUGUGAAUGCUGCUCCCUGGAAGCACUCAAGGCCAGGUUGGAUAUGGCUGUGUGCAGCCUGGGCUAGAGAGAGGUGUCCCUGCCUGGAGCAGGGGAUGAAACGAGGUGAUCUUAAAGGUCCCCUCCAACCCGAAGCAUUCUGUGAGCAGCAGGUACUGGGAUGGCAGAUGGUGGUGCCAGGCACACGGAUAGAAAUGCACCCAGCAGACCCGGUGCCCAUCCUGCAUGGGCUGUAACACGGAUGCUUUUGCAUCAGUUAUAGUAGCAGUAACAGUGUAAGGAAGGCCAUCCUGCUGCCGUCACUGUUGAUUUCAGGAGGUGUGCGUAGUGAGGCUCUUGGAAUCAAAGCAAACAAACAGAUGAAGUGAUGCCAGGCCUCACACUGUGGGCUUCUGCAGUGCUUGUUUUGGUAACACCUUGUCUGAGGCGGCAGGCCAGCGUGGUGCUAAGGGGUGACAUCCUUCCUUUAUAAAGCCACUGCUAUUUUAGACAGUACUGUGACAAGCACAGCGUUUGGCAGAUAAAGGCCAACUCCUGGUGCUUGGGCAGAUCUGGGUUGCUGCAGUGCUUGACUGAGGCUCUAUAGGAGAGCACUCAGUGAGAGAUUCAUGGUUAUGCUUUCAAUGUUUCCAUAAAUCCUUUUAACAGGUGUGGUUCUGAGCCUUGAAGAGUCCUUUCCUGAAUGGAUGCCUGUAGUUAUCAGGCCGUACCGAGCUCAUCCGAGGAGCCAGGUGGGAUAUGGCUUGGAAUGCUGUGCGUGCAUACUGAGGUGCAGCCAUCCAGCUCCAAGGCUCUUCCUGUCAAACCUUCGUAGACAUUUAGAAGGCAAUGGUUUGCUAUUAGCAUGAUCAAAUUCAGACAUCCUUCUGUGUUGACUUUGGAGCCGUUGGCUCCUGAGAGAGGUUUCUGCACGUGUCACUGAUGCUCUUGCUGUCUCCUCGGCUGCCAAAUAGGCUGUCAGGCAGCGUUGUUACUUUGCUUCUUGGUCCGCCAGUGCCCUUUCUGGUGGUUUUCGUGGCGGUGGUUUUCAACACAGCAAGAGGAAGAGCAGCUUAAAAAGGGGAAACAUAUAAUCCUCCCCAUUACCGGGCAGUGAAUUCCAAAACAGGCUCUUCUGAAAUAAUGGAAACACUUGAGCAUCUUACAGCCCUUGGGCUGGAAGCGCCCUGGUGUGGCUAUUGGUUUUCUGGCUGCUUUUUUACCCUGGGCAGAUUUGUCCUUUCUCUCUGCUUCUUGUUGGUUCCUGAUCAGCCGCAGAGAAACCUUUGGGCUGGUGGGGAAGCCCAGCAAAUCACCGCUCCUCUCUGCAAACGCUCUUCCUUUAAGAAACUUCCAAGUUUAAUGCAGAUCUCAGAGAGAAUAAAUACCAGUGCAGAAGUUUUCUGCGGAGGAACAAUCCACGUGUAAUUGGUUUUCCGUUUGCUCUGUGCCUCCCUACGCUGAACUGGGUAUUUUUACUUAAAAACAGAUUGCACAAUGCUCUCCGGUGUCAGUCGGUCUGUAACUGUAUGGUUAAGGAGCGUGACUCGUGCUGUUUGGAAUGAUGCUUGGAGGAGGUAGUUUAUUUCCAUGACUUUUGUACUGUAAACUGUAGAUGUUCCGUCUUCAGAGGCAGGGAGAUAACUGAUGGGGAGCAAAGAUGCACAGCAUGUGGGGGACACACACACUGCCCAUGCAGCUGGUUGAAGCCAUGUGCUGGCCUGGCACAUCAGCAGAGGCAGCUCGCUGGGCUGAGCAAUAAGUGCCCAUCCGAGGCAAUAAGGUUGACCAUCUUAGAGCUUCUUAUCUGUAACUCUGUGCAUUUAUACUGUGGCUGUUUGUGGUCGUUGUUGUGAUUUGUUUCAAGGGGUGCAAUAUGAGGUUAUUUGCAAGAAAGCCUCGGACUUGCUGGGCUGCUCAAGGUGCUCUCGGUGACAUGUCUUGAUUGCAAUAAUUGUGCAGAUGGUAGGGCAGGCCUUCUUGGAAUGAGCAAACGGGUGUUUCAAGGUCACCACCUCUGGCUUGGGAAGGUUGCUUGGGCAGCUUGGGAAGCAGAGACGUGUUAGGACAAGGCUUGCCAUGACCUGAAGUGCUCUUAUGCUCAUGGGUUCAUCCAGCCAGAGUUUUUCAUACCACCAAGACAGACAGACCUGCAGUACGCUGCUGUAUCCGCCAUGGGGCUGCUCACCCUGCCCUCUGAGCUCCCCCACGGUGCUGCUCUGCUGCAGCACUUCCAUGGGUGGGAGCAAAGCCCUUCCCAAGCAGCCUCUUGUAGCGCCGUGCAUCAGCAGUGCUGUGCCCUGGGAUGGGAAGCACCCACUUGCAGCAGGAGCUGUACACUGUUAGUAACAGUUACCAUGAGAAGCCUUCAGCCCGCAGCUCAGCAGUUACAAGGUGAGGCAGUGGGGAGGCGAGAGAUCCCUCAGCAGUGCUGGAGCCUCAGUCACAGUGUGUUCUCCUGCAGGCUGGGCUGUUAGCACCGUGUUUCUGCCUGCUGGAAUGGGAGAGGUGUUGGAUUGCUUCUCCAUCUGUGCAGUUGUUUUCAGAGAGCAGCUGCAGGUUCCUCUCUGGUUGGUGGUGGUGUUCAGCAAAUAACGCUUCUGCACUCAGUAUUGCAAGUCAUUGUAAAUUGCAUCGUAUAAAUAGCAAGAAGCGUUGCAUUUAAAAAGCAAACAAACAAAAAAAAGCCUGCUGCUCACCCUUUGUGCUUUACAGGCUUGUUGCUUCUCUUUGUAGCACAGAACAGCGCUAACAUUGCAGGCUUUUCUUGUCCUUUGCAGAUGGACUUCAUUGCUGGUGACUGUGCCUUAUCUUUGUUUAUCAAUGUAAAUCACCAGCGCUAUUCCUGAGCAAUGGAGAUAGCAGUGACAUUCCUUCUGAAGCUACACUCAGCCUGAGAAACUGUGUUGUACAGAAACAUGUUGGGAAAGAUAACCCGCGUGGGUUAUCGGAGAGGGCUCUGCUCAGCCCUUGUGGAUGAGGUGAUGGAAAAGGGCUGUGUUACUGCUUUCUAAAAGGUUCCAGAGCAGCUGCCAGGGCUCUCCAUGGAAAGGACUGAGAUUUCUUAAGCUUUCAAGCAUUACUUAAGUUGCUGUUGUUUUCUGGAGAUGACCACCAUCCUCUGUGUGUUAGGUCUGUCUGUCCUCCAAAACCCAGCCUGUAUCACCCCCAUGCAAGGCUGACUUGGAGGCCUUCACAUGGAAAUUGUGAGCAUCCGAACCAAAUGCAGCAUGUAGAAUGGAGAAGGGAAUGUGAAUCCAUGUAACGAAUAAUGUUCUCUUCAGUGGUGAGUGCUGCUUCCCGGGCAGUACUUACUGUGUCAGCCAGUAGUCCUUCAUGUUGUAUUAUAUGGGUUGUAUGAUGCAUGCUUUUAGGUAGCGCUGGCCACAAGAGCUGCUGUUCCUUUUCCAUGUUUAUAGUGUAUAUAUGAGAGAGGAACGUUCAUCAGCACAGCCUCGUACCCAAGUAUUCUGUCUACUUAGUAAUGCAACUUAUUGGGUUUGUCCCCAUUGGGUCUCAUGAGGGAGAUGCUUAUCCCUUCCAACCUGCGCUUCAGUGGAAUGGGAGCAGUUUUGUUACCAUCUAUCAGCUCGUUUUUUUUACCUUGGGGUGCACAUGAGGUGAUCACUGUAACUUACUGUGAUACUUAUUUGGUUCUCUCCUGCAAAUAUAUCUGUAACGUAGGUACCUGACACCUGUAGGUCCCCGCUGCUUUUAGCUUGGAUGAUUUUGCUCAGUGCUUCAAGGUUUCUUUUCUGUCCCUGUUUCUUCUCCAUGAGCUCUCCCAGCAAUGUCAGUGUUCUGCCAAGAAGAUGGAAGGCGUUCUUGUGACAUUUCUGUUGGUUGGAUGAUGCACAGUGAGGCAGCUGCCCUUUGUGCGUGCCAUCACAAGCCCCAGCAGCUCCCAUAUCCUGCUGGGGCCGACCAGUGCAGGACUGGUCCAAGAGAUGUGUGCAGUCAUUGGCCUGCCAGGCUUUUAUCUCAGAGCUCUGACAGUUCUCCUUGGAGGUGCUUGGUAUGUUCUUGGCAGUGGUUUUCUGAACAAGUUUAGAAGGGAGAGCUGUCACACCACAAAAAGGGAACUGUGCUCGUGGGUUGGAGGGAUGAACCAGACCUCCAUUUGUGUUCUUAGGGCUUAAAGAAGCACGAGGAGAACAAGCAGUCCUAUUUCACCAGGUGCCCCUCUCAGGCUGACGAGGAGCAUUCAUUGGCUUUUGUGCCCUUGGGUGUGCGCAGCGGUGCCAUUCCGGAACAGGGGAGCCAAAGGGAUAUGAUUAUGGGUAUUUCAGGUAUCACUCGGCUUUAAAGCAGAGCUUUUGGUGUUAUAGAUUGAGAUAUGUCUGUAUGAGAGGCAGAGGUGAGGGCUUGGUGUUACCCAGCCCUGCUGCUUGGUGCAGCCCAGCAGGAGCGCUCAGUCUGACUGCUGGGACCUGCAGGCCAUGGCUCCUGCUGGGAAAGCUGUACCCAGCAGCAACACGGAGGCAGCUUUUUUUCCUCUUCAGCCUCUUUAAAAUGUUGGAAUUAAUCACUUUUAUGCAGUUGUUUUGCAUACUUUUCAGAUGAGCAGCUUUCUUGAGCUUUGUGCUCUUUAUUACCUAAUCAUUGUUUUUAAAGUUCUGAGCAUGAGCUCAGUUUUUAUUUGGGUUUUGGGGAAGUAUUUGCUGCCUGUAGCCCUGUCAGACCCCACAGUUCUCCCAUCUCCAGCUCUGCAGGCCUGCAGUCCCCGCAGCUUGGAUGGGAGUCUGGGCAGCAAACUGUCUUCUGUAGUACUUCCAGGUUUCUAAAUCUUUGGAAUUUUCUCUGUAUAAAGUUACGACUUCCUGAAAAAGCAUUGGCACAGAUGGUGGAGGCUGUUAGUUUUUGGAGCUUCUCUUCAAAUCGCUCUCUGCUUUAUUUCUUCUUCCUCUUCAAAGGAGGAGAGGCUGGGGGAUGGAGCGAGCAUGGGGUGAAGGAGUCACCAGCUUUGGAAGGGGUUUUAAGUUGGAGGAGGGAAGAUUUAGGUUGGAUGUCAGGGGGAAGUUCUUUGCUGUGAGAGCGGUGAGGUGCUGCCCAGAGAGGCUGUGGAUGCCCCUUCCCUGGAGGUGUUCAAGGCCAGGCUGGAUGGGACCCUGGGCAGCCUGGUCUAGUAUUAGAUAUGGAGCUUGGCGGCCCUGCCUGCAGCAGGGGGGUUGGAGCUUAGUGAUCCUUGAGGUCCCUUCCAACCCAGACCAUUCUAUGAAAGGAGAAGAGAGUGUGGCCGUGAGAUGGGUUUGCUCAAAGAUGUUGUCCUGCUUUAGGAGCCAUCUCAUGAGCAUCCCAGCUGUGCAUGCACUGCAAGCAGAUGGACAGCUGGAGGAAAGGGCUUUAGAAAUCAGCCGAAGACAUCUCCAGUCAAACAACUACUUCAUCAGUGGCUGAUUUAACAAAGAAGAGAAUAGAAAGCUUGCCUGGAGUCAGGUAUUCAGAGCUUAAAAUUAGACCCAGAAUACCGCCAUGGUCUUGUUCACUUUGCUGCCUGGCAUCAAACUGCAGUCAGUGUUGUUUUAGUUGCCAUAAUACAGCGUGGGUAUGUAUUUUGAUCCCAGCAGCUGGGCUGCUACUGCUUCUGUUGUGAGAGGUUUAAGUCUUUAGUUCCAGUGAUGAAGCUUUAUGGUCUUACCAUGUGAAGUAUUUCCAGAGGCGUAUCCUGGCCUGCUAGGUCUGGCCAUUUGUGGCUGUUGUAUCAUCAUCUUUUUUUGUUUUACUUGCUGUCAAAACAUGUGCUGGUCACAUGGUGGGCUCUGCUCUGAGCAACAAUGGGUUUUGCUGGUUAAAUAUUUCUGCCUUGGCUGGAAGAGCUGCGCUGCAGUCAGGAGCUUGCAGCCAGACCUGCGGAUUAGUAUUUACUUUGCUCGUGUCUGAAUGCUUCAGGUUAGCAUGUGAGUUGGGAGUCAUGUUUGGAAUUAGGUUCUGCAUUGUUCAGCAGCAGGAAAGUCUUGGAAGCAGGGGCGAUGCUUCGUUUGGUGCUUAUUUCUCAGAUUUGAUCGGGAGUUCCCAUUCUAAGAUAGGAGGGGAAUGCCUGGAGUGAAUGUGGCUUUUUUCUUUGCCUUGUCUCCAAGUCAGUUUUUUGGGUAAGGAAGCCUCGCUGUGCAAAGUUUCAUCACUGACCUCAAGAUCACGUUUUCAUUGCUUUGAUAGGGGACGAGGCAGACUGCAGAGAUGCGCUCAGGUCUUCUGGUGCUCACAGCUACAGAGAGGGUGAGGACGAGUGACAGAAAGCAGCCACCCUGGAAACAUAGGCUUUCUGAAGUCUGAAAAACGUACCGAACGUAUAAAGUAGGGCAUGAUGUUCUCAUACCAAACAGAAUGCUGACUGUGACAAAUGCUUGGACAAUGCACGCAUUCUCGCUCGUGGAGCUGAAUGAGAUGCGAAUAACAGCAAAAAAAAAAGGCAAAGUGGUGUCAGCAGCAGAGAUGUGCAUUAAAAGAGCUCGGUGCAAGCAGUGGAUGCUUUUUGUAACUUCAGUGCAGCAGGUCCCAUCCAGGCCCCACAGGCUGUCAGCUUAUCCUGCAGCAGGGAAGCGGGGCUCUCUGCACUGCUCUCAUCUGGCUCAUACUUCAUCGCAGGGAUCUAUUUCUGAGUCUGCAUCAGAUUUUGCAGUCCGGGCUGUCUUAUAGCAGCCUGAUUUAGGUCUCGUUGGGUUGGAAAGCAUACACAGUGCUGCGAUUCGGACUCGCUCACAGACUUUUGGCACGUCCACAGCUGUUUGUACAGUGGUAUUGUACUGACAGAGCACGACACGCUUUGAGGAGGGCAGAUGGGAACAAUGUGCCGGAUUGCUGCGUGGGCCAGUGUGACUCACCGAGGGCUUUAGAGGUCUUUCAGGAAAAGCUGACAGGCCUCAGUGGGCUCAGUAGCUUCAUGGGGCUUUUCCCUGAGUAGGAAUCCCCAGCGGCUCUCUGGUUUGGGCUGAGUGGCUUAUGGGCACUUUGGGUCUGUGAGAUGGGCCUCCUGGUGCCGACAGCCAGGGCUGCCUUGGAGAAGCUCUGGAGCUUAAUGCAUAGAGGGAAGGAGGUGUGUGCGAUGAGUGCUUGGGAAGUCCCUCUGCUCUUUGAACAAGGGGAAUAUUUCCACCCCUGCUUUCACGUGGUGAGUGUUUUGGGUGGUUUAAUUUGUGCACAGUGCUUCCUAUGAGAGGUUGGGGCUGUCAGAGAUGCGGGACCCCUGAAGCAGUGAUCCCACACGUCCGCUCCGCUCACCCGAUGUGAGAGGACACGCUGUGUGCUCCCUGUAAAUAUCUAUAAAGCACAGAAUUGUGGAGUGGAUUGGGUUGGAAAAGACCUUAAAGCUCACCGAGUUCCACCCCCUGCUGCAGGCUGGGUGCCUUCCAGCAGCUCAGGCUGCCCGUCUGUGGCCUUAUCACCUCUAGGGAUGGGGCACCCACAGCUCUGGGCAGCAGUGCCAGGGCCUCAUCGCCUUCUGGGCGAAUACCUUCCUCCUCGUUUCAUUUGAAGCCGUUCCCCCUCGUCCUAUCACUAUCAGACCACAUAAAGUCAGUCCCCAUCCUGCCCGUGAGCCCCUGAAGUGCUGGAAGGCCGCACUGAGGUCUCCUUGGAGCAUUCCCUGGGCUGGGAGGCACGCAGGGUGCUGCCUUCAGGCCCUGCAGCACGUGAGGGUGAGAGCAGCUGCCCGCAGCGCCGGGUCCGUGCCCUCAUCUGCCACGGCGUGUGCAGGCUGGCACGCUCGGGGCUCUUUGUCUGCUGCUGGCUGCGCCUGCGGUUGCUCUGCAAGAGGUCCGAGAGCUUUUCUGCCUGAGAUUAGAAACGGGCGAAAGGAAGUGGAAAAGAGGGGGAAGCGGGCUUACUGAGCGCCUCAGCAGCUGCUGCCAAAUCACAUUUUGGGAUUCAGUUCUAUUUUCAAUACAGCGCCGGCUGCCAAGGCUGGCAAACUGCGAUCCCGCUGGAAGGAGGAGGGCAGGGAGACGUCAGCACGGCUCUGCAGAGGGGGGACAGCGCUGGGUUCUGCCUGCUUCCUUCUGCGGGGAACCAAGAGGUUCGGGGGCGGGGAGGCAUUUUCCAGGGCUUUUUUUUAUUUUUUUUUCAGAAAUGGAGCAAAACAAUGGGUUUGAUUUACACUUCAGAUGUGGUUUCCUGUCUCCUCUCACGUCAUUUGCAUACGGUUGGGAAUAGUUUGGUUUAACUUUCUUUUCUAGGUGCGUGGCAGGGUAUGGUUUCCCUUAUCUCAGGGUAUGGUUUCCCUCACGAUUUCCGAGUGGACGUAGCAAGGAGCGAACAAAUCCAGGCUGGCAAAACUGGUUGGAAUCAGCAAAGAAACGACAGGCUGCGCAGAGUUGUUGAAGUGUCUGAAUGGCUGCGAGAGCGAAGCCUGCAGUGUAGGAAGGGAAGAUGGCUGAACAAAGCAAAAGGAACCAAGUUGGGAGCCAAAAAGUGCCUGGGUUUUCUUCCUGCCUUUGUCGUGCCUCACUUGUAGCCUUGGAAACGGAGAGACAGAGGGGUUGGGAAAGUUGCUAAUAGUAAAAACGGAGAUAAGACGCCGUGCACGGCUCCCUUUUCGGUUUCACUUUGAGACUGGCGAGGCGGUGAAUGGCCGAGGACAGUGCACAGCGGUGGGCACUGCUUAUACCUCCGUGGGCAGGAGGGUCUGCAUGAUGAACUGGGCAUGGCUCAGCUCAGCAGGAUUUGUCCGGGUUUUUGUCCUGGGGGGGCUGAACCGAUGUUUGUUUAGCAGGUUGAGGUGUUGGCGUGUCGGCAUUCCUGGAUAGAAAGGGUCGUGCGUUGCCCUUUAAGAAAAUAAGAGAAAAAAAUGUGGAUUUGGGAAAGCUGAAGCAAAAUGAUCGUAGUAGGGAAUCCUAGAAGCUGCGUGUUUCUGGAAAGAGCCGACAAGGAAUAGUUCCCGAAUAUGCAGGGGGAAAUUCUAGCAGUUAAAAUAUGGCCAAGAAUAGACAGAAGGUGAAGAGAACAGCGAGUCACACAACCAGGGCUUGCAGGUGGAGGGCAUGGAGCCAACGCUGAGCCCCCCUCCCUCCCAGCACACGUGCCCAAGCCCGUGACUCCUCCUACAGGAGCCAUCCAAGGCAACUUCCAACUUUCCAGAGCAUGUAAGGAAAAUGAUUGUUUUAAUAACUUUAUGUCAGCUGAAGGACCUGGAAAGGGAGCGGUUUGGUUUGCUCUUUGUAGACGUGUUAAUGAUGGGGGAUCUUUCAGAAGUCGGCUUGCAAGGACGGGAGGACAAACGCAAUUAUAGGAUGUGUAAAAUGGAAAUCAGGCACCGGGACGGGAACUGGAGUGCUUCAAAGUCGAGAAGCUGCCAGAUAGCAUCUCAGAAAUACUGGCAUCUGAUAUCCUACAGCUUCUUUGAGGAAAGUUUGCUGGGGGAAACCAGGUGGUCCUGCCGACACUGCAUAGCCCUGUGCUCUGUGUGCUUUGUACAGAUCGGGGGUAAUUUCACACUGACCCAUUUUAUACCUGAAAAAAAAAAAAACCUGUGCAGUUACUGAGUCAUUUAAAAUACCUCUGAGUGUUGCUGUGUCCCCCGGGGAUGUGGUUGCACUGCUGGAUUUCCUUCCCAUUUCUCCCUUAGCGCUCUGAAAUCCGCAAGCUGCUGCUGGCCCAGACUGCUGUCUCUAUGGGGAAGCAGAGGGUGGGUCAGUGGGUGAAUUACAGUCAUCUGAUCGGGGGCUCAGAAGAUACGAUCUCUCCUCAGUUUUCUUCCCUUGUAAUGUCAACACUGUGGUUUUUAGAGAAUAAUACUUUGCACGUACGCUCUGAGGUUCCAGCUUUGGCUCCGACUUGUCCUAAAAACCACUCUGCUGGGUUUGAUCUGAUACGGGUUACCAUCUGACAGCUCUUGUCCCUCUAAGAAACUCAUUUCCAAGUUCUGUAUUACAAAAGCUUGAUCAAAAGAUAAAACUGGAACUAAUAAGAUGAAUAAUUUACCGAGAUGAAAGAAAAAUGGAACGGGGCAAAGCUGAGAGCCUGAGGCACCGAUGUGUUCCCAAAAGUCUGUCUUGUCUGUGGUGACUCUUGCUGACCGUAGUGUAUCUCUUGUGACUGCUACCAGUACUGAAAAUGAGGCCAUUUACUGCCCGAAAAUAAGAUUUAUCAAGGCUUAUAGAGACAUUAAGGUUGGAAAAGACCUUCAAGACCAUCUGGUCCAACCCACCCCCACCGUGUGCACUGACCGUGUCUCUCCGUGCCACAUCUCUGUGGUUCCUGAGCACCCCCUGGGAUGAUGACCCCACCACUGCUCUGGGCAGCCCAUGCCAGUGCAUCACUGCUCUUUCAGAGAAGUCUUUCCUGAUGUCCAGCCUGAACGCAACAGCUCAGUAAACCACUCCACCUGACACGAGCAAGUUUUUCCUUCCUUCCCAGUACCUUCCACCAGCUCCUGAGUGCUGUGUGCUUUCCAUCCUUCAGGUGACUGUGAUGUGAGACAACACGCAUCGUGGGUGCGCUGGGAAGAUCUAUGAACCCGCUUCUUGAAGGCAGAAGCUGCUGCACUGAGCAAAGGGCAGCCGGCUGUGCCACUGCUGCUCGGCACCGUGCCCAUCCUGCACAAACCCAGCUCCCAGGUACAUUGCUGCCUCUUGCUUUGGGCUGCCCUGGGCACUGAAGGCCUUGCUUCUGCGCUGCCAGCAUUGACAGCAGUGUCAGUGCUGACAGGAGCAGUACCACGCAAAUAGGAGCCUAAGUGGGAUAUGUAAAGUGCAUCACAACCUACGGAAUGGUUGUCUGGAUUUGUUUAUAUGGAGACUGCAACAAUUGGAUGUCUGGGUUGAGCUAGAUCAUAGAAUCAUAGAAUGGCCUGAGUUGAAAAGGACCACAAUGACCACCCAGUUCCAACCCCUGCUAUGUGCAGGGUCACCAACCAGCAGACCAGGCUGCCCAGAGCCACAUCCAGCCUGGCCUUGAAUCCCUCCAGGGAUGGGGCAUCCACAGCCUCCUUGGGCAACAUGCACCAGUGCAUCACCACCCUCUGGGGGAAAAAUGUUGGAUAGACUCUUGUGGUAGUACCCACAGUGUAUACCCAACCACCUCUAGGGUGCAAAGCUAAGUUUGAAAGGCAUGGCUAACAGGCCUUACAGUUUGUGUUCCUAGCACUUCAACCACAGAGUUAUAAAUUGCUCUGAAUAACUAUCUUCAGGACAGCUACGCUCAAGGAGACUGCAUUUAUGGCUGUUCUCUGGUAGCAGUCGGGAGCCAGCAGUUUAACAGCAUGUUUGGCCUCCUGUUUGGCACUUGGCUGUGGGAUCGUGGGCACACCUGCAGUCCAGGCUGUGCUCAGCAGGGUGGGAGCUGCCAGAGCUCAGCACAGGCUGCCUAGCAAAGUGUCUGAGGGCUGGGACGUGGUGUCCGUGAGAUGCUUUGAGGGGCUUGGGAAGAGGAGGGGGGAACGUCACAGCUGUUUCCAUGAGAGGCUGUGGAGAAGGUGAAGUGUAACGUCUCAGGAGUGAGAGGAUGAGAAGUAAAGAGCACAGACUGCAAACAAGAGGUUUCCAUGAGCCAUGAGGGGGAAAUUCUUGGCUGUGAAGAUGGUCGGGUGGCCCUGGAAGUGGUGGCACCUCUAUCUCAAAUAGACUGAAGCCAGUUAAAGCACCAUUAGUAGCAAAAUCAAGUACAUAAACAUGGAAUUAAUUUCAGAUUUAUUUUCUCUCCAGUGAAAUGCUCGUGCAUUGUGAGAUUCAGUAGACAUGUUCUUGAUCUACCUUUUUUUGGUUCUUGGUCGUUGCUGUGUAUGUUUUAACUUAUCUUUUUGGUCAGCUUUUUCCCUAGGAGUUCUUUUAUCCUAUUUCUUUAACAUCUGUGAUUAUAACAUAAUACUGGUUUGGAAUGAUUCGUCCAGUGAGCUUCAAAGGCUUGAACUUCAGUAUCUUUCUUGUGAAAGGACAGAUUGGAUUAACAAGUAUGCACUGCGUAAGGACUAAACUUGUUCUGGUUGAAGGGAUCUUUCAAAAAUACUUGAAAAACGGGGCAGUGUGCUUGGAGGUGUGGGGAUGUGUUGGAGUAAGGUGGGCCAUUUCUUAGUAGUGAGAAAAUGUGAAGCUGACUCAAUAAAAUACAAGAGGUGGCAGGAAAGCUUGUAGCAUUUGCCAAAUGCGGUCACUUGGGUUGGAUGCGUGUCUAAUUUGUCCUUAUGAGUCGGUAAACAGAUUCUCUUCUGUCCGUGGAAGUUGGCAGAUGCUGCUGAAUUCAGCCCCACGGAGGGAGGCAGGUGGGAUGCACUGUGAUGGGUUGAUGGAGGGCGUUUCUCAUAGACGUUUGGAUGGAUUUCUUUGUGCGUGUGUUUUGUUGCCUAUAACUUUUGCAGUUCAUGCAUUUUAGCUCAAGGUGUGCGCUCAGGGAGAUGACAGGAGAUGGCUCCCUGGCCCAGCAGUCUGAUGGGGCCCUGCUGUGGAAAUCCCAUGUCCUCUCACUUCUCUCUGAAUUGCACGGUGUUAAGUGAUUUGUGAUUCCAGUGAGACAAGCUCUACUGUUAGCCUGGAUUGCUUGCAAGUGAAGCAAACUUAACACUCUUCCUAUUGCCACCACGUUAGAGAGCUGCUGUCUGAGAUGUGCCACAGGUUCAGAGCGUGACUUCACAGCAGCUAUUUAAGCCUCACUGUCCUUUGGACACUUCACAAAGGCAACUGCACAGGUCUCAGCACAGCAGCAGUUUGCUUCUGCUUCCAGGGGCGGUGAGUGGGAUCAGAUGUAUAAAUGGCAGAGCACGCCAGUUAAAUGCUCUCUGAGCAUCUUCUACUUGAACAAAUUGUUAGCUUUAGCCUGGCGACUGCGUACAAAUAUCAGUGGAUAACCCAGCUGCAGUUGCAGUGCGUUCUGUUAUCACAUAGCAGUCUGAGCAGCUCUGGCAUGCAGAAACUUUCAGUGAUGGGCUUUGCAGCGUUGCUUGAUUUAUUUGCUCUGAAGCAACGAGUUUGAAUAUUUUUGUUCCAGGUUGCUAGGCUUUUAAAGCAGCUUUGGUUUUGCAUGAAGCAUGUAGAAAGCUGCCCAGUUUCUGAGAACACUGUAGGACAGCGUGCAGCAGCUCACAGCCUGCCCUCAGCGAUGACAGCAUUUAAUGCAACUUGUUAGCAAAGGAAGGGAUAUUUCCUUGUAUUCUGCUGCUUUCCUGGCUAACGAAGUUGUGUGCGCUGACUGCGGUGCUGUAAAAGCAAGGUCAGUCUGGUGGGAUGCUCUUUAUCCCUUUGUGCAGGGCGCCUGUGGCAUCAUCAUAUGUAGUCCACCUGCGUUCUUUGGACUCUUUAUCCAAGAUAGAAGGCAUCAUAGCAAUUAAUUUGAAGAGCUAUGCGGAGAGAUGGUAUUUUUUUCUAGAAGGAUUGUAUAGGAGUCCUAUAGAAUCUAAACCAGAUGACUUUCUUAGAGUAAAACGUUAUCUGAAGGAGUUGGGUCUAUACUUUAUGAUAGUGUUGGCUCUAAGCAGCUGGACUGGCUGCAUAUGGGUUUGGAGCCAAGCCCUUUGCAGGGCAUCAUAACCAUAAUGCGCUGACAGUGUGUGGUGUGGAGGUGGCUUGAAGCUGGGAAUGGAAACUCCUGAUGUUAAAGCCAUGUUUUACCAGCAUUAAAAAGGAAUUAUAAACAGGAGUUGUAAACAGCUUAAGAAAAGCUUGAGUAUAUUAUAGCCCAAAUAAUCCUAUGGUUGUCAUAAAAGCUGAUGUUGCGAGGUUGCGGUGGAGCUUCCUUAGUGCCGUGGUGCUGAGCUCCUUGCAGGGAGAUGUGGAAUCAAUGCGGAGGAGGGCUUUUUAAUUCAUGACACAUUGCUGCACGUGGGAUUCAUGGUUGCCAUCAGAAAGGUAAUUUUCCUUGAUGGCUGUGGUAGGCUGCAGAUUGAGAGAUACAAAAGUGUUGCAUUGAAUUAGCAUGCCGUCAACGUGCCUUUGUCUCACAACUUCUAUCCCCUAAAUAGCUGUUUAGCUAUCCUAAGUGUCAGAAGCAAGAAAACUGGACCUUUCAAGGUUAUAGCUCUUCAUGCUCAGGUAAUGCAAUUCAGAAGAGCCCGAACACAACAAAUCAAAUCGUGUGAGGCGAUGCGUGGCUUCGUGCUUCUGCAGUUUUGAAAAAGUACAUAUAGAUUUCCAUUGUUCCAUUCCAGAGAGCCCUUGAAGUAUGUCAGGUAUUUAUAGCUUUGGAUGUCUCACUUGUACAUGCUGGAGUUAAUGACUCACACCUUUUCCAAACAAUUGAAGUGCUUCCUGAAUAGCAGAGAAAACAUUCCUUCCUCUGCUCAAGCACUGAUUCACGUUCUGAUUCACAUUUGUUUGUUGUCGUGUGGCAAACACCAUUUGGCAUGUUUACUCCUAGGUCUUAAUUACCCUGCAGCAGUACUUUUCUCUUUAUAGAUCUUAUUUCCUUUCCUCUUCUCAGCUGUGUCAUGAGACAGCACCUAAAUUAAUCCCAAAAUAGAAGCCUCCUUCUUCCUUCCAUCUUCCCUCCUCUCUCCAGCUGUGUGCUUCUGCUGCUUCCCUUCUCACCAGCACCUGUGGGCCCUCCUCCAAUCUCAACGUGCUUGAGCAGCAAGAAAUAAACCCAGGGAAGGAUGAAGGUUUUAGCAGUAAGUGUGCAGUCCUGACUGGCUUGGUGAGGAGUCCGACUCCCAAACAUCGAUACCAGCACAGAGGAGGGACACAGCACACAUAAUGGUAUAGCUGUCAAGAAAUGGGCCUCAGGAAGGCUUGGGGAUGUGCUGGGUGGUGCUUCGUUAGCCGAGUGACUGCUUAUGGUAGCAAACUUAACCACACAGAAGGCUGUCAGCAGCACCAAGGUGGCCAAGAGGCGGUGAGAAAGGUAAGCAAUAUGUUGUCUUUGUCUCCUGAGCCACCAGCUCUGUGUUCCCAUCAGCAUUAUGCAAUUUCUUGCCCCCUUGUUUGUGCAGAAAUGAAUGCGUGGGACUACAGUGGAGAGCAGACGUGGACUGUUGUGUGCUUGGUGCCUGGGGUGUGGGACAGGAGGGAGCUCAGCGAGGCUGUUACAAGUCAUUUCACUGCUCCUCAGGUCAUCAGACCCCACGGAGCAAACCUGCAAAGCAUUUGGAGGGUUGGGUGGGGAAACAACAGCCGUGUAGUUGAGUUUAUCACGAGAGAAAGCAUUAUUUGCCUGUACUGCUGGGUUGUGCUGGUACCUCUCUGCCUUCACGUGGAUUAACAAAAAGUUGGAGAUAUUAAGCCAGUAAUUUGUUGUUUAAAAGUACAGUUAAACGUUUGUAGGCUUAAUGUGGCUUUUGUGACAAGAUGUAGGAUGUGGUUAAAGCGCAGUUAUUUUCAGCAUUGACGCCCAGCGAGACGGCGUGCUGUGAAUGUGAAGCUGUGUGCUGCUGUUGUCUGCCCUGUGCUGAAGAAUUCGUAGCAUGCAAGAUCAGAUCUCCCCGAGAUGGCCCGCUUUGCCUCGCCGCUGUUACCCAAUCACUCUUCAUUCUGUUCGUUCCUCUGCCCCUUAUUUAUAUACCUCUUCCUGUUUUUCCCCCUCGUUCCCUGUGUGCUUGAACGCAGUCUGUUUCCCUCUCUUCCAUUGAAAUGGACCGGUGGUGCUCAUUUGUUUUUCCUCCCACCUCCAAACGGCUCGGAUUUGUUUCCCCUUCAGGUAAUUUCUACUGUUGACUAAUUACAGUCACGACUUGUUUCUGCUCCGUGAACUCCGCAAGUUAAAUCCUCUCAAAUUCCAACAGGCAGUCAAUCCUAUAGGCAGUUCUGCAAAAUAAUCUAGCAAAAAACACCGGUAGGAAACUAGCAAUCUUCCCCUGCCCAAAAUAAACCAAUACGCAACCGCAGGUUUCCCCACCACAUCCCGCACAAACGUCCAUCUUCACACGUAAGUAUAAAUAUUUGGAAUACUACGAGAUUCCUGUGGGCUCUUUAAGAGAAAUGACCUUCUUUUGCUAUCCUGGCUUGUAAAGAAGAAAUAAUUUGAAACCCGGCGAGCUUCCCCUGCACUCGCCCAGGCAGACCACACAGAGUGCAGUGUGCGUGUAGGAAGGACAGCGGAGGGCUGCGCUGUAAGAGCACAUCAGAGGAGUCUGGAGGGAAGCCAUGUAUAGACAAGGCAGAUGAGGAACAUGACAACUGGAAGCUGGUUCAUUCUCGUCUUUCUCUGCAGCAUUUUGGGGAAGAAAUGGAGCUAAUACUCCUCCUACCUCGAAGCUGUGCCUUAAGGGAGCCGUUACGAUUGCUCCUUUCUUUGCACAGAGGCUAAACUGGUCAUUUCAUAGCCGCGCGGUGUUAAUGCGAGGGAAAACAUCUGCUUUUUAGCACUGGAAAACACAGGCGGAGUUUGUUAGCCGUGUGUAUUGCAGGUGGUGCCCCAGCUUUGGGAAGCUCGUUUUUGUGUGGGGUUUGGAGGUUUGAAGCGAUGAUCUCUGCUAUUCAGAAUGUUGGGAACUUUGUGCAGCGGGAAUAGGGCAGAGCGUGGGGAAAGCACUCGUUGGUGUACCUUUAUGCUCUUCUCUGUUUAUCCACUGCACAAAAGAAACAGAAGCCCAUCUUGUCAAAUAAACUGGUUGUCAUCUGUCUGCAAAAGCUGCCUCUCUUCUGGCUGCCCCGUCUUUCAGAUUUUAAUCAGCUUUGUGGUAUUUGGAGUGGUUCCCUUUCCACAAGGGAAGUUGUGACUUGCUGCAGUGGAUGGAUCGUCUCUCAGGUUUCACAUUAGCAAGGAAAAUCAGAAUAAAAGCCUGUCUGCUUACCAUCAGGUUCUCACAGGUUUUGUCUGUGAAACAGCUAAAUAACCUUGCCAAGGUGCUUUAUUUUGAUAGGCCCAAUAUCACGUUAACCAAGAAAAUUAGGCUCGGAUGACAAAUACCUCCUGAUGCAAUGCACUGCAACAGCACUGUGUUGGUAACUUUGCAUUUGUCUUGUUUCCUUCCCGGGUUAUUAUACAUGUGUGCAAUAAAAAUGGGCAGCCCCAUAUACAUCCAGCUGUUUUCCACUUCCAGCUGAGCAGAGAUGGACUGGGGUGAAUUCGUUUUCCUCUUGACUCAUUGCAAACUCACACUCCAGUCGUUCCAGUUAAACAGAUUAGGGGUACCAGGGAAAGAAAGGAAGGGAAAAACAGCAUCUUAAUGUUUACAUUAACAAGGGACAACCUGCUGUCAGGUAUGUGGUCCGUGAAUGGAACAAAUGUUCUUCAGGUGGAUUACGUGGUAAAUAAGCUGGGAUGAUUCAAAACAUACCCAACUUCUUCCAAAAGCUCAGAGCAGUGCUCGCAGAAAUGCGUGCGUAGACCAACUGCAUAACAAAUGGAUUGUGUUUGAUAUCCACACUCCAGAUGUAAAUGGGUCUUACAUAAAAUCAGACCGGUUAUCCAAUAGGUGAUGCAGAAAUGGGUCUGGUGUAGAUGAAACUUCUAUGAUGUAGAUUUUUGUUUUGGACUUGUGGGGAAAUGGAGGUGCUUCGGCCACUGGGAAAUGUUAAAUGUUGGGUUGGAAAGAUAAGAAUUGGGUGUGGAUACAAGUCUGCCUGUCCGUGUUUGGAAAAGGUGGACAGAAGCUUUUGUAGUGGUAAACAUUGGUUCUGUGACCAAAAUGAUUCACAGGGACACAUUCAUUUCCUGAGCUACUUUUCCCCACGAGAGAUGUAAAGUCAGAGGGAUGCUCCCUUCAACCAAAAGGGCUGGUUUCAAGCUUCUCACGUGGGUGGCAAAUCUACACCUUAAAGAAAUGUUCUCAUGUUGCUUUGGUUUCUGUCCGUUGUUCCUUAUGGAAGUGCUGCUUUGGCACAGUGUGCUUUUGGCUCUGCUGUCUCCACUAAUUGGCAUUUCAUCUUGCCAUGGGCUACUGAGGUCCCAGCAUUCUUUUGCUGCACUAAAUAAUUCAGACUGUCAGUGCGCUGAGCACUUGCUCCAAUGACUAAGCAGGAUGUUUUGGGGACAGACUAAUAUGCAUUUUGCUGUGUGCUCAUAAAAAGUUGCUACUGAGACAGAUAGGAACAUUAAAAGAUUGUAUCCUUUUGUUCCUUGUUCAAGUCCUUACUUACCAUUCCUUGCACAAUUAACCUUUUACAGCUGUGGUAUGCAAAACCAUUGUGGAUACCCCAUCCCUGGAGGCACUCAAGGCCAGGCUGGAUGUGGCUCUGGGCAGCCUGGUCUGCUGGUUGGUGACCCUGCACAUAGCAGGGAGUUGGAACUGGAUAAGCAUUGUGGUCCUUUUCAACCCAGGCCAUUCUAGGAUUCUGUGGUUCUAUGAAAACACUAUCUUGUUCUCUUGAAUGUCAUUGGGUGUUUUUCACUGGGGUUAACAUGAAGACCUCAGUUUUAUACAGAUGCCUCUCUGAAGGGAAGAAAGCAUUAGUCAGCCUUAAGGUUUAUUUGUAGAGGUCUGAAUUCAGGAAAUGGCAUUGUUACGCAAGGCUUGCAGCAGCUGGAAGAAAGGAGAUGGGUAUGCUAUGGCCUGGGAGGGGAGCUGGGCUGGGAGGUUGGUUAGCUCAGGCACUGCUCGUCCUGCUUUGCUGUGGAAGCUUUUCAUUUCUUCCUUGGGAACAGAACAGGGAUUGGGGAUCAUAAGGAAAGUGUUGGUGUACGUAGACUGAAGAUGCUUUUAUUCUUUGUGCAGAAGCUUUUUCUGCUCGUUCAGGAGAUCUGGGCAUGCUUGGCUCCUGACGUUUCUUUCCAGGGACUCAUUACAAUGAAUGCACAAGUACUAUCAGAUCAUUCUUAUUCAGCUACAUGAUUAACAAAAUGGAAAGAUGGAGUGAUUAAACAAUGGAACUGUAGCUGUCCCUCGGGAGCACCUCAGCAGUUGUGCCUCAGCAGUUCCUACCUGAUUCCAGCACAGUGGAGGGAGCAGCACCAAGCGUGUCC